This 640-nucleotide long non-coding RNA is filed under the name Elaeis guineensis (African oil palm). Its description in RNAcentral is "long non-coding RNA (EGUI_LNC016771)". Lineage: Eukaryota; Viridiplantae; Streptophyta; Magnoliopsida; Arecales; Arecaceae. The record is from RNAcentral.
UCUUUGUUAUUACUAUCUCUUAGACAUAACACAUCAAAAUUAACUCUUCAUCCACCUUCUAUGUUUGAACUUAUUACAUAAGCUUCAUCACUCCUCAAGAAUCCAAUAUGUCUAGAAUUAAUUUGAGUUAACCUUCGAGUUACCUUACAAUCAUUUAGACAACUUCCAAACCAACUUUUCUUUGCAAAGAAAUCAAAAUCAGCAAAGUUAUCAUGUUCUUUAUCCAUAUAGAUUUAGCAUUCCAAUAUCAUCAAAUAUACCUAACAUAAUAUAUCAAUACCUCCCACUUCAUUCUAAGGUCAGCACUUCUCGUACUCAGAUCAACCUUGCUAAUUGAAAUCUAAGAUAUAACUCGUCAAUUCUAUUAUAGACAUCAUAUGCCACUUAUGCAUAAAUUUCAUCAUAAUACCUAUUGAUUCGAAAUCAAAUUAUUGAAUCAUUUCUUUUAUAUCUAUCAUGUUCCUCAUGAUCUUAGCCUCAAGUUCACAUAUCAUUAAAGUCACAAUCUCGAAUAAUGAUAAUCUUAAGCUCAAAUACCACUUAAGUCAUAUUCUCUAGUGAUCAUAACCUAAACUUUAUAUCAUUCUAUCACGUCCUUAAUGAUCAUAAUCUUAAGCUCUGAUAUUAUCCAUUAUACUUC